Molecule: long non-coding RNA, 1188 nt
Organism: Nomascus leucogenys (northern white-cheeked gibbon)
Lineage: Eukaryota; Metazoa; Chordata; Mammalia; Primates; Hylobatidae
Exons: 2
Source: RefSeq, a predicted model, not a curated record
CUCAUUCUCUCUUGCUGCCGCCACAUAAGAAGUGCCUUUAACUCUCUGCCAUGAAUAUGAGACCUCUCCAGCCGUGUGGAACUAUGGAGUCUCGCUCUGUCUCCCAGACUAGAGUGCAGUGGCACAAUCUUGGCUCACUGCAACCUCUGCCUCCUGUGUUCCAUUGAUUCUCCCACCUCAGCCUCCUGAAUAGCUGGGAUUACAGGCGUGCGCCACCACACCUGGCCCUACAGUUUCAAGAUGAUGGGAUGACAGCAUUUCUACCUUACUCUCUGCCUGAACCAAAAUGAGGUGCCAAAGUCACAGGAACAGAAGUCCUGCUUUUGAUGAGACUACAAGACACCUGGAACCUGAAUCACAGUGUAGAAGAACGUCAGCAGAUGGUGGACACAAACAUGACCCCACAGAGUGGACAGUCUGGAGCAGCCAGUGGAUCCCUCCACGUGACCUGUGUGAAAGGAAAGGAAAAUCUCAAAACCAAACUCACCGUGCCAAAGGGAACUGAGUCAUGCAAUGCCUGCCUUCCUUCUGUUUCCAGACAGCUGUGAUCCCCACGCCUGCGUUUUCGCAUGUCAAAUAUAGAACUACUGAGCAUGAGACGGAUGCAUGACUGGCUUUCCCUGAACUCUGUUCUUUUUCUUUUUCUUUUUUUUUUUUUUUUUUUUGAGAUGGAGUCUCAUUCUGUCAUCCAGGCUGGAGUGCAGUGGGGCGAUCUUGGCUCAUUGCAACCUCCGCCUCCUGGGUCUAAACCAGCCUCCUGACUCAGCCUCCCGAGUAGCUGGGAUUACAGGCACAUGCCACCAUGCCCGGCUAAUUUUUUUUGUAUUUUUAGUAGGGAUGGGGUUUGGCAUAUUGACCAGGCUGGUCUCAAACUCCUGGCCUCAAGUGAUCUACCCAUAUCAGCCUCCGAAAGUGUUGGGAUUACAGGCAUGAGCCACCACACCCGGCCGGCUCCAUUCUUUACACAGGUGAAAUGUAGAUUCUCUGAGUGCUAAUCAGAGCCUCAAGAGAAUGUGGCCUCUCACCUGUUUGCCUACCCUCUUUGUUUCCCUUUUCUCCUUUCUCUUGAAACACUGAAGUCCUCAAAACCCUCUUUGGUAAAAGCACAGGACACAGAUUCUAUUGUGGCUUGUGUUUCUUUUUCCCGGGCACAUGCUCAACGUCAGCAAAAUAAAUCUCUAAGCCGAU